AAAAUAACAAAUAAUCAAAAUUUUCCGCACGAAAAUAUUUUUUCAGGUUCUAAUGCGAUAAGCUUCCAUCACAAAGGUCGGAAGACCCAUCACAAAGGUUGAAAGACCCAUCACAAAGGUUGGAAGACGCUUUGCAGAAAUUAUGGCAGAAAAUAAAGAUUCAAAGACGUGCUACAAUGUUGAUACCAAAAAUAGCAAAUAUGUUUUUGUUGGAGACAACAUUACAGUAAAGUUUUAUCAACAAAAAG
Paramuricea clavata is the source of this 248-nucleotide non-coding RNA. NCBI's taxonomy places the organism in Eukaryota, Metazoa, Cnidaria, Anthozoa, Malacalcyonacea, Plexauridae. The record is from the annotation of a GenBank genome assembly.